GUGGGGAAUAUUGGACAAUGGGCGCAAGCCUGAUCCAGCCAUGCCGCGUGAGUGAUGAAGGCCUUAGGGUUGUAAAGCUCUUUCAGUGGGGACGAUAAUGACGGUACCCACAGAAGAAGCCCCGGCUAACUUCGUGCCAGCAGCCGCGGUAAUACGAAGGGGGCUAGCGUUGUUCGGAUUUACUGGGCGUAAAGCGCACGUAGGCGGAUCGUUAAGUCGGGGGUGAAAUCCUGGAGCUCAACUCGAGAACUGCCUUCGAUACUGGCGAUCUUGAGUCCGGAAGAGGUGAGUGGAACUCCUAGUGUAGAGGUGGAAUUCGUAGAUAUUAGGAAGAACACCAGUGGCGAAGGCGGCUCACUGGUCCGGUACUGACGCUGAGGUGCGAAAGCGUGGGGAGCAAACAGGAUUAGAAACCCUUGUAGUCC
This 425-nucleotide ribosomal RNA is filed under the name uncultured bacterium. RNAcentral describes it as "bacterial SSU rRNA". It matches the Rfam family "Bacterial small subunit ribosomal RNA", at positions 354 to 796 of the family's 1533-position model. The record is from RNAcentral.